Molecule: ribosomal RNA, 224 nt
Filed under: uncultured bacterium
Lineage: Bacteria
Description: partial 16S ribosomal RNA
Rfam family: Bacterial small subunit ribosomal RNA
Source: RNAcentral
CGGAACACGUACAGAACCUUCCUUUAAGCGGGGAUAGCCCAUAGAAAUGUGGAUUAAUACCCCAUAGUAAUAUUUGAUGGCAUCAUCGGGUAUUUAAAGAUUUAUCACUUAGAGAUGGCUGUGCGGCUGAUUAGGUAGUUGGCGGGGUAAAGGCCCACCAAGCCAUCGAUCAGUAACUAGUGUGAGAGCACGACCAGUCACACGGGCACUGAGACACGGGCCCG